Molecule: long non-coding RNA, 2327 nt
Organism: Macaca fascicularis (crab-eating macaque)
Lineage: Eukaryota; Metazoa; Chordata; Mammalia; Primates; Cercopithecidae
Source: Ensembl
GUUUUCAGUAGUUUAUUCACAUUUUUUUUCUCUGUUUAUUUUAAUAUGCACCACGUGUAAGUUAGAUGAGGGCUACGGUAAAAACAUUUUCGAUGACUGAAAUCUUACUUUUCCUUCUAAUGAUCUGGAGCAAAUCACAUAUUCAUUGAUCAUGACGAAUAAAAUGAUUUCUGCUACAAUGUUGAGAAAAAAUGUGUUCAUUAAUAUGAACACAUGUCUACAGAGAUGAUUUACACGAUGCAAGUAAUGAAAGAGUUCUUCCUUAGCUAGUCUACUAUCAAACUGAAAAGAUGAAUCUUAAAAUUCCCUUGAAAAUACCAUAUGGUUGGUCAUGUGUCAGUAAAAGAAAGAUGGUCCCCAUCACCAGGCCACCACCAUAAGAGAGCUAUAUUAAAUACUUGGGAAAAAAUAUGGAAACACUUGUGGUGAUGAUUAAAUUGAUAAUUACAUAGAUACACUGCCAUAAUGAUACAUAUUUGUUCUAUGAUAAGUGAAAUCAAAAAUAAGAUCAAUUUGGUUAUAGAAAUUCCUUAAAGAACACCACCACUUAAUUAUUUCAAACUUGAACUAUCCCAAGAAUGUCGAGAAAAAAAUUAGAAAGCACUGGCUAAAAGCAAAGCAAUCUGGAUACACCAAUGUAGUCAGCAUGCCUUGUGCUUGUCUGUUAACCCUCUGAGUACAUCUCUGACAUUCAGGAUCUUGGUAGCUUAAUGUUAGAAAGAUUGCAUUCCAUCUGAUUACUCAAGAUUUCUACUUGACUGGUCACAUUCCACUCUUUAUUCAGCAUAGAUCACUCAAAUUCUACAGUGAUGUGCUGGGAUCCCCAUGCUGAAUGGGCCUUGCAUUCUUCUGAGCUGCCCUUCUGCAGUGUGCUGAGAAACACUCCCUAGCUUCACACAGUCCAGAGUCCCCCUAGACGUUGAUGGGAAAAGGCCUGAGCCAUGCACUGCAGGCUCAGUACACUAGAUGCUGUAGCAAUAUAGUUAAUGCCCACAGAAAAAGCAGUAAUUCAGAGAAAGAAAGGAAAAUGACAGUCCACUGCAGGUAGGUCUCUGCCCAUUGCAUUCUUCAUACUUUUAGAGUUGAGGCCAGGCUGUAGAGCUACUCCGUAGCCUUGGAAUAGUGCUUUGCUUUAUAUUUCUAGAGAAAGCAACAAUUUCCAACUAAUUCAGUGUUCCUCAUUAAUAUGGAAUCUACCUACACACCAACACUCUUUCUGGUGUUCUCUGCCCCCCACCCCCACCUCCCCCCAAAAAACAACUCAACUAAUUUACUAAUUUAUGCUACUUUGUGAUUUUGUGUGUUAUCGCUUCUGGAUGCUCCAAAAGGGGGGAAAAAAAACCUCAAUAAAUAAUAUGCUGUUUACAUGUCAGGACAACACAGACCACAGAGAUGAACCUAAAUGUAAAGGAGAAAAAAUUUUGGAGAUGGUGUUGCAAAAGUAAUGACAUGUGAUUUAAAAAUCCAUAUUAAUAUAGACCAUAGUUUCAGGGUUGAAGAGUAAAAAUGCAGCAAGUGAAGAUCAACAUGCAUUUGAAAAUAAAGGACUAUAGAAACGUUGUUCACAAAUUUUAAGACUCUCAGGUAUUAAAAUAUAUUCAAACAGAGAACAUAGGUACUGUUCAGCCACCAGAUGCAAACAUCAUGAGGUAUCCCUCCCUAGUUGUCUCAUGGAUCCCAGAGCCCAGCAAACCUUGGGAGCACAUUUGAGCUGGGCACCUGCCUCUAAGACACGCCAGGAGAAUCCUCUCUCAGCACUGCGGUGAUGCACAGAACCUGCGAAUUCCCAUUCUAAAAUGGAAUCUGUUCCAGAAGAAACUCAGGCCUGGAGACUCUGCACCAGGGAGAUCGAUUUGGUGACAGGAGUGAAAAUACAGGUCUCAGACAGGACUUGGCCCAAAGACAGAAAAAACACUAUGACCUCCUGGACAGCUAAAGACAGUGGUAUAAAAAAAAAUCAUUUUAGGAGAUGGAGGUUUUAUCCUCAGGGAUAUCAUCUAGGUCUUUCAUCCUGAUCUUCCUGGGAGACUAUAUAGGUAACCUAAAGGUGCACAUGGAAUUGUCUUGCCAGUGGUUUAUUCACUGAAAACUUAUCGUUAGAACAUUCUGGAUUGUGUUCCCAGUGUGCUUUCUCCUCAGCCAUCUUGCAAAGCACCUGCCUCCAGGCCCCUUGUGCCCCAGCUCUCCUAUGUGUGGAUUUCAUACUAGAUGUAGAUUGCACAGUGAUGACCACAGUGCGUGGAAGCAGGUGAGAAAAAGCACAGGAUGUUAUUCCCUCUUACUGUUUGAAAUUCCAGCCCUGCAGAGCACCGGGCAAUUUAUUGCUC